GACGAACGCUGGCGGCGUGCUUAACACAUGCAAGUCGAACGGAAAGGCCUCUUUCGGGGGGUACUCGAGUGGCGAACGGGUGAGUAACACGUGAGUAACCUGCCCUUGACUUUGGGAUAACUUCAGGAAACUGGGGCUAAUACCGGAUAGGAGCUCCUGCUGCAUGGUGGGGGUUGGAAAGUUUCGGCGGUUGGGGAUGGACUCGCGGCUUAUCAGCUUGUUGGUGGGGUAGUGGCUUACCAAGGCUUUGACGGGUAGCCGGCCUGAGAGGGUGACCGGCCACAGUGGGACUGAGAUACGGCCCAGACUCCUACGGGAGGCAGCAGUGGGGAAUACUGCACAAUGGGUGGAAGCCUGAUGCAGCAACGCCGUGUGCGGGAUGACGGCCUUCGGGUUGUAAACCGCUUUCGCUCAUGACGAAGCUUUGUGUGACGGUAGUGGGUAAAGAAGCACCGGCUAACUACGUG
This 467-nucleotide ribosomal RNA is filed under the name uncultured bacterium. Its description in RNAcentral is "partial 16S ribosomal RNA". It matches the Rfam family "Bacterial small subunit ribosomal RNA", at positions 28 to 507 of the family's 1533-position model. The record is from RNAcentral.